RNAcentral lists this transfer RNA (73 nucleotides) under Stegodyphus mimosarum. It matches the Rfam family "tRNA". Rfam says of the family: Transfer RNA (tRNA) molecules are approximately 80 nucleotides in length. Their secondary structure includes four short double-helical elements and three loops (D, anti-codon, and T loops). Lineage: Eukaryota; Metazoa; Arthropoda; Arachnida; Araneae; Eresidae. The record is from Rfam by way of RNAcentral.
GCCUUCAUGGUGUAGUGGUCAGCACACUCGACGCGUAUUCGAGAGGUCCAUGGUUCGAGUCCCGGCGAAGGCG